Molecule: ribosomal RNA, 1021 nt
Filed under: Eucoleus sp. 1 APM-2017
Lineage: Eukaryota; Metazoa; Nematoda; Enoplea; Trichinellida; Capillariidae
Description: SSU rRNA
Rfam family: Eukaryotic small subunit ribosomal RNA
Source: RNAcentral
UAUUAAACUUGCUGCGGUUGAACCGCUCGUAGUUGGAUUGUGAACCGUGACCACGGUCCUCUAAGUGAAGAGGAAUGGCUUUGCCGCCGUUGGUCGUGAUCAAUGAUGUCAUAGUUGUCCGGAUGCUCUUCAUCGGGUGUCUUGGACGGCAUGAAUGUUUACUUUGAGAAAAUAAGAGCGCCCAAAGCAGGCUGCUAUAUGCUUGAACGGAAUUUCAUGGGAUAGUGAAAGAUGAUCUCGCUGGCGUUGAAAAACUGGCCACGAGGUAAUGAUUAAAAGGGACAGACGGUGGCAUUCGUACUGCUACGUUAGAGGUGAAAUUCUUGGAUCGUAGCAAGACGAACGAUUGCGAAAGCAUUUGCCAAGAAUGUUUUCAUUAAUCAAGAACGAAAGUUGGAGGAUCGAAGGCGAUCAGAUACCGCCCUAGUUGCGACUUUAAACGAUGCCAACUGGCGGUUCGGCGAAGUCUCUCUGACGACUCGCUGAGCAGCCCCCGGGAAACCAAAGUCUUUCGGUUCCGGGGGAAGUACGGUUGCAAAGCUGAAACUUAAAGGAAUUGACGGAAGGGCACCACCAGGAGUGGAGCAUGCGGCUUAAUUUGACUCAACGCGGGAAAGUUCACCCGUCCCGGACACUGUCAGGAUUGACAGAUCAAGAGCUCUUUCUUGAUUCAGUGGAUAGUGGUGCAUGGCCGUUCUUAGUUGGUGGAGCGAUUUGUCUGGCCAAUCCCGAUAACGAACGAGACUCUGGCCUACUAACUAGUGACGGCGUGGUCUUUUCGCUGAGCACUUCUUAGAGGGACCAGCGGCGGUACAAAGCCGCACGAGAAAGAGCAAUAACAGGUCUGUGAUGCCCUUAGAUGGGCGGGGCUGCACGCGUGCUACACUGAUGGCAUCAACGUGCGUCCAAGCCUGACCUGUGAAGGUCAGGAAAUCGAUUGAAAUGUCCGUCGUGACUGGGAUAGGGAAUUGCAAUUAUUUCCCUUGAACGCGGAAUUCCCAGUAAGCGUGAGUCAUUAGCU